Molecule: ribosomal RNA, 398 nt
Filed under: uncultured bacterium
Lineage: Bacteria
Description: bacterial SSU rRNA
Rfam family: Bacterial small subunit ribosomal RNA
Source: RNAcentral
UAUUGCCCAAUGCGCGAAAGCGUGAGGCAGCAACGCCGCGUGCGCGAUGAAGGCCUUCGGGUCGUAAAGCGCUUUUCGGUGGGAUGAGGAAGGACAGUACCACCGGAAUAAGGGACGGCUAACUACGUGCCAGCAGCCGCGGUAAAACGUAGGUCCCGAGCGUUAUCCGGAUUUACUGGGCGUAAAGGGCGUUCAGGCGGUGGGCUAAGUCAGGCAUGAAAUCUCCCGGCUCAACCGGGCGAGGUUGUCUGAGACUGGUUCACUUGAGGGCAGUCGAGGGUGGUGGAAUUCCGGGUGUAGUGGUGAAAUGCGUAGAGAUCCGGAGGAACACCAGUGGCGAAAGCGGCCACCUGGGCUGCACCUGACGCUGACACGCGAAAGCUAGGGGAGCGAACGGG